UGAGGAAUAUUGGUCAAUGGGCGCAAGCCUGAACCAGCCAAGUAGCGUGCAGGAAGACGGCCCUAUGGGUUGUAAACUGCUUUUAUACGAGAAUAAUUUGAUGCACGUGUGCGUUAUUGCAUGUAUCGUAUGAAUAAGGACCGGCUAAUUCCGUGCCAGCAGCCGCGGUAAUACGGAAGGUCCAGGCGUUAUCCGGAUUUAUUGGGUUUAAAGGGAGUGUAGGCGGUUUGUUAAGCGUGUUGUGAAAUUUAGAUGCUCAACAUUUAACUUGCAGCGCGAACUGGCGAACUUGAGUGCACACAACGUAUGCGGAAUUCAUGGUGUAGCGGUGAAAUGCUUAGAUAUCAUGAAGAACUCCGAUUGCGAAGGCAGCAUACGGGAGUGUAACUGACGCUUAAGCUCGAAGGUGCGGGUAUCGAACAGGAUUAGAUACCCUGGUAGUCCGCACAGUAAACGAUGGAUGCCCGCUGUUAGCGCCUGGCGUUAGCGGCUAAGCGAAAGCAUUAAGCAUCCCACCUGGGGAGUACGCCGGCAACGGUG
This 540-nucleotide ribosomal RNA is filed under the name uncultured bacterium. RNAcentral's name for it is "bacterial SSU rRNA". It matches the Rfam family "Bacterial small subunit ribosomal RNA", at positions 355 to 896 of the family's 1533-position model. The record is from RNAcentral.